Brienomyrus brachyistius is the source of this 313-nucleotide long non-coding RNA. RefSeq lists it as uncharacterized. Lineage: Eukaryota; Metazoa; Chordata; Actinopteri; Osteoglossiformes; Mormyridae. The record is from RefSeq and is a predicted model, not a curated record. The transcript is spliced from 3 exons.
GGUACACACUGCAGAGUACAGGAUGACGCAGUACAGGUACACACUGCAGAGUACAGGAUGACGCAGUACAGGUACACACUGCAGAGUACAGGAUGACGCAGUACAGGUACACACUGCAGAGUACAGGAUGACGCAGUACAGGUACACACUGCAGAGUACAGGAUGACGCAGUACAGGUACACACUGCAGAGUACAGGAUGACGCAGUACAGGUACAAGUACAUACUGCAAAGCGGAGCAUUUUCCCUUUAAGCCUGCCCCCUAGAUCAUCCCCUUACUGUAGCCAGGGGCCCAGCAGGUGCCUCCCUGACACA